GACGGAGGAUGCAAGUGUUAUCCGGAAUCACUGGGCGUAAAGCGUCUGUAGGUGGUCAAAUAAGUCAACUGUUAAAUCUUGAGGCUCAACCUCAAAAUCGCAGUCGAAACUAUUAGACUAGAGUAUAGUAGGGGUAAAGGGAAUUUCCAGUGGAGCGGUGAAAUGCGUAGAUAUUGGAAAGAACACCGAUGGCGAAGGCACUUUACUGGGCUAUUACUAACACUCAGAGACGAAAGCUAGGGUAGCAAAUGGG
RNAcentral lists this ribosomal RNA (253 nucleotides) under uncultured bacterium. RNAcentral's name for it is "partial 16S ribosomal RNA". It matches the Rfam family "Bacterial small subunit ribosomal RNA", at positions 524 to 776 of the family's 1533-position model. RNAcentral also lists the same sequence under 2 other names. The record is from RNAcentral.